CGCGUAGGUGGUUCGUUAAGUUGGAUGUGAAAUCCCCGGGCUCAACCUGGGAACUGCAUUCAAAACUGACGAGCUAGAGUAUGGUAGAGGGUGGUGGAAUUUCCUGUGUAGAGGUGAAAUUCGUAGAUAUUCGGAGGAACACCAGUGGCGAAGGCGGCUUACUGGUCCAUUACUGACGCUGAGGUGCGAAAGCGUGGGGAGCAAACA
Molecule: ribosomal RNA, 207 nt
Filed under: uncultured bacterium
Lineage: Bacteria
Description: partial 16S ribosomal RNA
Rfam family: Bacterial small subunit ribosomal RNA
Source: RNAcentral